AUGGUCAGAGCCUCGUGCCCGCUCGGCAGCGCCCGGACGCCGAGCCCAGCGCGUCGGCCCCCUGGCGUGCGGGCGUCUCAGAGCCGCGGAGGGGCCGGCGGGACGGUUUCAGCGUGGCGGCGCUGGUGCUGGCGUUGGCCCUGGAGGACGGCCCCGAGUGGUGGCUGGCGCCUGCCUCCCGGGUGUCUCCCGGGUACAGAUGGAGUCGUCCCGCGGCCGCCGGCGGCAAGGUCGGCAGCUGCGAGGCCAAGAGAGACCCCAGGACACACACAGCUGCCUCCCGGUGCGAGAAGAAGACCCCGGCUUGAGAGUGAGAUGGCGUUUAAUGAUUGCUUCAGUUUGAACUACCCUGGCAACCCCUGCCCAGGGGACUUGAUCGAAGUGUUCCGUCCUGGCUAUCAGCACUGGGCCCUGUACUUGGGUGAUGGUUACGUUAUCAACAUAGCACCUGUAGAUGGCAUUCCUGCGUCCUUUACAAGCGCCAAGUCUGUAUUCAGCAGUAAGGCCCUGGUGAAAAUGCAGCUCUUGAAGGAUGUUGUGGGAAAUGACACAUACAGAAUAAACAAUAAAUACGAUGAAACGUACCCCCCUCUCCCUGUGGAAGAAAUCAUAAAGCGGUCAGAGUUUGUAAUUGGACAGGAGGUGGCCUAUAACUUACUUGUCAACAACUGUGAACAUUUUGUGACAUUGCUUCGUUAUGGAGAAGGAGUUUCAGAGCAGAUAAUACAACUGAACGACUCAAAGCCUAUAAAUAAAUGGCAGAACCAGAAUUCAAAGGAGAAUGGACUACCUCUUGGCCUGUGUACCUUUGACAGCCUCAUGGUGCCUACUGAGAAAUGUGCCCUGAAUCACAAAUAUGAGACAGGACAUUUUGGAGGCUAUGUGUCUGUCUCCAUUUUUAUCUUUUCAAACAGAGAGAAGGCUAAGAUUAAAUCAUUCAUCAAAUAAUGUUAAUAUUUCCAAUUCUCCCAAAGCAAAUUCUACCUGGAAUUCAUUCUUUAAGGAGGACAGAGAAAUGAAAUAGCUGUGUGGAUUUUUCAUUUACUUCAUGGAUUUGGAGUCCCAGGAACGCAGAAGCUGGGAAGAAGAGGACGCCUGAAAGGUCCGUUCUGAUGAAGUCCUAGACCUCACUAGCAACUGGGGCUGAGUGGGGUGCACAUCACUGUCUAAUGGUCUAAAAACUAGGCCUCGCCUCUGCACAAGUGAGCAAUGUAGAAACAAAAUUAUAAGGUCAUCUUUUAAAAUUCAGCUUUGAUUGAAAAGAUGUAAUAAAGAUUUGAAUGUUG
RNA transcript from Pan troglodytes (chimpanzee), 1286 nucleotides. It is a transcript of the gene named phospholipase A and acyltransferase 1, with no coding region annotated. The record is from RefSeq and is a predicted model, not a curated record. NCBI's taxonomy places the organism in Eukaryota, Metazoa, Chordata, Mammalia, Primates, Hominidae. The transcript is spliced from 5 exons.